AGAGUUUGAUCCUGGCUCAGAGCGAACGCUGGCGGCGUGGUUGAGGCAUGCAAGUCGAGCGAGGUGUGCUUUCAUAGGCAUCUAGCGGCAAACGGGUGAGUAACACGUGGGCAACCUGCCCAUGAGAGGGGGAUAACAUUCCGAAAGGAAUGCUAAUACCGCAUAUGCUCACGACCUCGCAGGAGGUAGUGAGAAAAGUCGGGGACCGCAAGGCCUGACACUCAUGGAUGGACCCGCGCUCUAUCAGCUUGUUGGUGAGGUAAUGGCUCACCAAGGCUAAGACGGGUAGCUGGCCUGAGAGGGUGGUCAGCCACACUGGGACUGAGACACUGCCCAGACUCCUACGGGAGGCUGCAGUCGAGGAUAUUUUUCAAUGGGGGAAACCCUGAAAAUGCGACGCCGCGUGCAGGAUGAAGGACUUCGGUUCGUAAACUGCUGUCAGGAGGGACGAAUGUCUGCCGUGAUAAUACCAUGGCAGGUUGACGGUACCUCCAGAGGAAGCCACGGCCAACUCCGUGCCAGCAGCCGCGGUAAGACGGAGGUGGCGAGCGUUGCUCGGAUUCAUUGGGUGUAAAGGGUCGGUAGGCGGUUUGGUAAGUGCUUGGUGAAAUUCUACGGCUUAACCGUGGGACGCCCAGGUAGACUGCCA
RNAcentral lists this ribosomal RNA (649 nucleotides) under uncultured bacterium. Its description in RNAcentral is "bacterial SSU rRNA". It matches the Rfam family "Bacterial small subunit ribosomal RNA", at positions 8 to 638 of the family's 1533-position model. The record is from RNAcentral.